AGGGUUUGAUUAUGGCUCAGGAUGAACGCUAGCGGCAGGCUUAACACAUGCAAGUAGAACGGUAACAGAGAGAGCUUGCUCUUUGCUGACGAGUUGCGAACGGGUGCGUAACGCGUAUGCAACCUACCCAUAACAGGGGGAUAGCCCAUAGAAAUGUGGAUUAAUACCCCAUAACAUCAUUUUCUGGCAUCAGAGAAUGAUUAAAACUCCGGUGGUUAUGGAUGGGCAUGCGUGACAUUAGCUAGUUGGUGAGGUAACUGCUCACCAAGGCAACGAUGUCUAGGGGUUCUGAGAGGAUGAUCCCCCACACUGGUACUGAGACACGGACCAGACUCCUACGGGAGGCAGCAGUGAGGAAUAUUGCGCAAUGGAGGAAACUCUGACGCAGCCAUGCCGCGUGCAGGAAGACUGCCCUAUGGGUUGUAAACUGCUUUUAUAUAGGAAGAACUACAGCUACGUGUAGCUGUUUGACGGUACUAUACGAAUAAGGACCGGCUAACUCCGUGCCAGCCGCCGCGGUAAUUCA
Molecule: ribosomal RNA, 526 nt
Filed under: uncultured bacterium
Lineage: Bacteria
Description: bacterial SSU rRNA
Rfam family: Bacterial small subunit ribosomal RNA
Source: RNAcentral